AACGAACGCUGGCGGCAGGCCUAACACAUGCAAGUCGAACGCACCGCAAGGUGAGUGGCGCACGGGUGAGUAACACGUGGGAAUGUACCCUUUGGUUCGGAAUAACGUUUGGAAACGAACGCUAAUACCGGAUGAGCCCUGUGGGGGAAAGAUUUAUCGCCAAAGGAGCAGCCCGCGUCUGAUUAGCUAGUUGGUGGGGUAAAGGCCUACCAAGGCGACGAUCAGUAGCUGGUCUGAGAGGAUGAUCAGCCACACUGGGACUGAGACACGGCCCAGACUCCUACGGGAGGCAGCAGUGGGGAAUAUUGGACAAUGGGCGGAAGCCUGAUCCAGCCAUGCCGCGUGAGUGAUGAAGGCCUUCGGGUUGUAAAGCUCUUUCGACGGGGAAGAGUAAUGACGGUACCCGUAGAAGAAGACUCCGGCUAACUUCGUGCCAGCAGCCGCGGUAAU
RNAcentral lists this ribosomal RNA (450 nucleotides) under uncultured bacterium. RNAcentral's name for it is "bacterial SSU rRNA". It matches the Rfam family "Bacterial small subunit ribosomal RNA", at positions 29 to 524 of the family's 1533-position model. The record is from RNAcentral.